Molecule: long non-coding RNA, 2664 nt
Organism: Rhododendron vialii
Lineage: Eukaryota; Viridiplantae; Streptophyta; Magnoliopsida; Ericales; Ericaceae
Exons: 5
Source: RefSeq, a predicted model, not a curated record
AAUCUUCUUUGGAAUCGGAUCUCCACUCAUCUGAGGCAUGUUCAUGGCGGAAAGGGGUUAUGCAUUCAUACUCUGUUAUAUGAAGGGGUUUCUUAUUUUUGAUUCAAAUGCUUUCGAAAAUUUCGUAUAGAUGGUGGUGUAUACGCGUUUUUAUGCUGAACCACGCAUACUAGGCAGAGAUGCCAUGGUUGUGCCCUCGCCCGAGUGAUGUUCUUGAAGGCUGUUUAAUGUUCUUUUCUACUCAUUUCUUCUACGCUGCUUGAUUUUGCUGGCAAGGCUCGCAGGUAGGUAUUUUUUCCGCCUUUUAAUCCACUUCCAGUUGCUGAAAUGGGAUGUGACCAACAUCAAGCUUAAUUUCAAGCAUCAUCGUUUGGCCCUAUGAAGUUGUUUGUGGUCGCUAGUCCAUCCUGGACUUGAACCAGAGACCUUGCCCGUGAAGUAAAUCAUCGCACCUACGGUCCAACCAAUUGGCAGAGAAUCAAUAGAUUCAUUUUCGGGAGCGAUUCAUCCUUAUGUCCUGCCCAAGAAAGAGACCCAAGUCCUAGCCGAAUUUGCAAACAGGCAUUGUGCCUUCAUUUUGGAAGAAGAGUUGAAAGGUGCAGUUGUUCGUAUUUGCAAACAAGCAGGUCAGCUUAUUCUCCUUUUCUUUUCCUUAAGUCCAUGAGCACAUGGUAAGCAGCAAAACUCUUAUACAUGACAUUUUACUUGUCACAUUGAUGUGAAAGUUGGCCAGGAAGCUCCCCGACCAAAUCUCGAAAUCCCUACGUAUUUGAUCAAAGUCUAAACUUGGGUUAUUCUUGGUGAAUAAAUAAAUUAAAUAAUAAUGUCAAAUCCCUUUGUUUGGAAUCUACAUGUAUCCAAAUAGACUCUUUGUACAGGAAAAUCAGUCAAGUACAUUGAGUUAGCUGAUUUUCUUUCUUUUGAGAUCAUUGAAUGGAGUCCAUUGAGCUCAAAACCUUGUGCAUUAGUGGCUAUUGGAUGAUGUAUUGCUCAAACUUUUGUGCUGGUUCCACAAAAGCUUGGAGUGUAUAUAUGAACAGAUAGGUAGCAAGCUGCUUGAAUUUGUGUUGUCACUGUAAUGUUGAGAGCUUGUCAGCCAAAUUUUGGUAGAUUUUGUGCUGUCAAAUUGUUGGAAACUGAAAAUCAGUUGCUAGAUUGGAAUUGGCUGAAAUUGAAUGCUACAUGUUUCAUUAAGUGUACAGCUGUUGUUGCUACUCUUGAGAUCUGUUGGUGCUUUCAUUUGCUGGUUCUGCUAUCCAUAUGAUGUUAUAUGUUGAGUUUGAGUAUUGAUGUUGCAACUAUAUUGCUAGUUUUUGCUCUCUAUUGAAGUUGUUGUCUGUUGGAACAUAUUGAUAAGACUUAGAACUGUUGUAGCUUGUAAGCUGUAUUUCUAGACAUAGAACAGAUUGUAUUUUGAAAGAAUUAUGAUAAGGAACUUGAAUUGACCCUUAAAGAUUUUUCAUUACCAAAAUAGUAUUUGAUAGGCUUUGGGACACAACUUAGUUUCCUUAGAUAUGAACUCUAAAUUUUUGUUGACCAGGCACAAGACUUUCUUUAUGUUAACUUAGUUGUGUUUAUCUAACUUUUUUACUUGAAUUGUCUUGGGAGCUAGUUAAAAGAUAAACUUGGUAGAAUAGAUGUUACUUAAUUUAAUUUUAGUUUCUACCACUCCCAUUAUAGACAACUUAUGAGACAAGAUAAGGGAUUUAACCUCUUGCUGUUUAAGGGGAUUAUUGAGCCCCCUUAUAUUCCAAGCUCCGACUUUGAAAAUUUAAGAGGAAGACGCUUUAUCACCCCUCCCCUUACCAGGAGGACCAACAGAACCUUUAACCACUGUUUGCACAGGUUUCUGAACACCCUUACUGCGACCCCUUCCCUUCUUUUUAGGGGGAGAAACCUGAAGGAUCAGCUCCUGAUUCAACCCAUCAGCAAACUCCUCAUUAGUAGGCAAAGUGAUUGGCUUCGCCCCUGAGUCUGGCUUAUCCUCACCACUAUCUAAAUUCUGCAAAAUAGAGAAACUAUUCACAACUUUGGUACCAAAAGAAGACACCAAAGAAUCCAGCACCUUAAGAGAAGCGGCCCCAUCAAUCCCAGCCUUCUUCUUGAUGUCCACAACUGUAGGAAGCCUCUCAACCGCCCCGUCAGCACUACGAAAACAAAAACAGGAGAGGUCGACGCAGCAAACACCAAACACAUCAUUCACUAUAGGUGACAGAACUUCAGCAACAAUAGGAGCAACAUGAGUUGGUUUUACAACCCACACCUAUGGUUUAUAGUUCAUAGGAAUAGCCUUAGACUAGCAAGUCUUAUGCCCAAACACCUUAUAGGACUCGCAUCGUAACGGUCUCCAAGGAUACCACACUCUGAUAUUAAAAAUAACCCCAGAAGGUAAUGUCAAGUCAAAACUGUCAGGCAGAGCAGAAGAUGUGUCUAUUUUCACACAAAUUUUAGCAUAACUAAUCUGUUUGCAUGACUCUAUGAAAUGAUCUGCAUAUAAUGGUCUACCAAUGGCACUAACCAAUGGUUACAAUAAAAUAGUCUAGUUACACAACACCGUCUUGAGUAAUAUUAAUGGACACCUAAAUAGAGGUUUGACGGCUGCACUUCUAGGUUGCGGGUUCAACUUCCACGCCAUCUCUCUCUCUCUCUCUCUCUCUCUCUCUC